CGCGCGGGGCUAAACAAGUGUGCAUGUGGUGACUGUGAUCCUGAUAAACUUGCAGCAGGCCUCCCCAGAUGUUAAAAACCAAGGAGGGCAAACUCAGGCUAAGGACACCCCAGAGACAAUUCAGAAACAAAAUGCACUUUGAAGGAAGGCUUACAGCCCUUUCAGUCUGCAAAUUUUAUU
This 180-nucleotide long non-coding RNA is filed under the name Mus caroli (Ryukyu mouse). Its description in RNAcentral is "sRNA (MGP_CAROLIEiJ_G0008789.1)". It matches the Rfam family "ST7 overlapping transcript 4 conserved region 1". The record is from RNAcentral. Lineage: Eukaryota; Metazoa; Chordata; Mammalia; Rodentia; Muridae.